RNAcentral lists this ribosomal RNA (473 nucleotides) under uncultured bacterium. RNAcentral describes it as "bacterial SSU rRNA". It matches the Rfam family "Bacterial small subunit ribosomal RNA", at positions 355 to 825 of the family's 1533-position model. The record is from RNAcentral.
UGGGGAAUUGUUCACAAUGGGCGCAAGCCUGAUGACGCAACGCCGCGUAGGGGAUGAAGGUCUUCGGAUCGUAAACCCCUGUCGAAUGGGACGAAAGACUCGCGAGUGAAUACUUCGCGAGAGUGACGGUACCGUUAAAGGAAGCCACGGCUAACUCUGUGCCAGCAGCCGCGGUAAUACAGAGGUGGCAAGCGUUGUUCGGAAUUACUGGGCGUAAAGGGCGCGUAGGCGGCCCUCUAAGUCAGACGUGAAAUCCCCCGGCUUAACCUGGGAACUGCGUCUGAUACUGGAGGGCUUGAGUAUGGGAGAGGGAUGUAGAAUUCCAGGUGUAGCGGUGAAAUGCGUAGAUAUCUGGAGGAAUACCGGUGGCGAAGGCGGCAUCCUGGACCAUUACUGACGCUGAGGCGCGAAAGCUAGGGGAGCAAACGGGAUUAGAUACCCCAGUAGUCCCUGAGCGGGCUGGCAAGGCGCAU